Podarcis raffonei (Aeolian wall lizard) is the source of this 265-nucleotide long non-coding RNA. RefSeq lists it as uncharacterized. The record is from RefSeq and is a predicted model, not a curated record. Lineage: Eukaryota; Metazoa; Chordata; Lepidosauria; Squamata; Lacertidae. The transcript has 2 exons.
AGCCCAGCCAGAGAUGGCACCCACCAUUUAUGUGCAGGAGGCGAGAAAUUAACCUCUCCGCAAACACAUUUGGCCCACUUUUCAAAAAGGAAAGUGAGACUGAACUGGCGGGCGAGUGAGUCUACUACCCUUUCCCGAAAAUCAGGAUGGGGAGGAAACACCUUGCAAGGAAACCAGCCUCAAACCCUGCUGGACCUUGUGGCAAUGAUGGCUUGCGCCACCACCGGGUGUGUUGUUUGGAAAGCAUGGUGUUUAAAUAAAAAUU